Molecule: transfer RNA, 77 nt
Filed under: Aquimonas voraii
Lineage: Bacteria; Pseudomonadati; Pseudomonadota; Gammaproteobacteria; Lysobacterales; Lysobacteraceae
Also listed under: 3 other names
Description: tRNA_Asn_GTT
Rfam family: tRNA
About the family: Transfer RNA (tRNA) molecules are approximately 80 nucleotides in length. Their secondary structure includes four short double-helical elements and three loops (D, anti-codon, and T loops). Further hydrogen bonds mediate the characteristic L-shaped molecular structure. tRNAs have two regions of fundamental functional importance: the anti-codon, which is responsible for specific mRNA codon recognition, and the 3' end, to which the tRNAs corresponding amino acid is attached (by aminoacyl-tRNA synthetases). tRNAs cope with the degeneracy of the genetic code in two manners: having more than one tRNA (with a specific anti-codon) for a particular amino acid; and 'wobble' base-pairing, i.e. permitting non-standard base-pairing at the 3rd anti-codon position.
Source: RNAcentral
UCCCGAGUAGCUCAGCCGGUUAGAGCAUCUGACUGUUAAUCAGAGGGUCGCCCGUUCGAGUCGGGCCUCGGGAGCCA